Molecule: ribosomal RNA, 493 nt
Filed under: Vibrio sp.
Lineage: Bacteria; Pseudomonadati; Pseudomonadota; Gammaproteobacteria; Vibrionales; Vibrionaceae
Description: bacterial SSU rRNA
Rfam family: Bacterial small subunit ribosomal RNA
Source: RNAcentral
CUGAUGCAGCCAUGCCGCGUGUAUGAAGAAGGCCUUCGGGUUGUAAAGUACUUUCAGCAGUGAGGAAGGUGGUAGUGUUAAUAGCGCUAUCAUUUGACGUUAGCUGCAGAAGAAGCACCGGCUAACUCCGUGCCAGCAGCCGCGGUAAUACGGAGGGUGCGAGCGUUAAUCGGAAUUACUGGGCGUAAAGCGCAUGCAGGUGGUUUGUUAAGUCAGAUGUGAAAGCCCGGGGCUCAACCUCGGAAUUGCAUUUGAAACUGGCAGACUAGAGUACUGUAGAGGGGGGUAGAAUUUCAGGUGUAGCGGUGAAAUGCGUAGAGAUCUGAAGGAAUACCGGUGGCGAAGGCGGCCCCCUGGACAGAUACUGACACUCAGAUGCGAAAGCGUGGGGAGCAAACAGGAUUAGAUACCCUGGUAGUCCACGCCGUAAACGAUGUCUACUUGGAGGUUGUGGCCUUGAGCCGUGGCUUUCGGAGCUAACGCGUUAAGUAGA